AUCCUCCUCCCGGCCCCCGGCAGCUGCGGCUCGGGGAGCAGCCGGCGGCGCCGCGGCCGCGCAGCCUUUGUCUCGGGCCGCCGGGCGCGCGGGGCCCAGCGCAGGCAGGCCACGCGGGGACGGAGGAGGCAGAGAGGACGGGCUGUGAUGGAGAAACGGGAGAGGAGCCGGCCAGGCGCCACCGUCACCACCAUCACCAACCACCACCACCAUCACCAUCACUGACUGUCGCCCAUCCCAGCUCCCCUGCCUCACCUCCCAUCUCAUAUCCCUGUGCAGUGCCAACUUUAUCAGAUCAUCUCUUUUUCACUGGGUACUACUUUGGAAAAGCGACAGAGUGCGCCAAGUCAGGAAUAAGUACAUCCGCUGUGGGACAUUUAUCUUCCCCUUUCUAUUUAGCUACCUCAAUUUUCUCAUCAGGAAAGGGGGCACAAUGGCAUUUCAUUCCUCUAAAUCACACUGAGAUGGCUGGGUUGCUUCCAGUUUUUCCAGUCCUGGCACUGGACGGUUAUACAUGCUUGGUGAUGAUGAUGAUAAAGUAAUGUCUUCAUUAAAUUGGACAGUUGGGAGUUUUCAGACUUACUCUUCUUUGACUUCUGAGUGUCAGUAUACCAGUAGCAAAUAGAAACAUAAGGAAAGUGAAACUUUGGCUAACAUAAUACCAAGAAUAGAUGCAAAACAGGCACUUUUGUAGGGACAUCACCCAAGAGACCUGCAGGCAAUGGUAUUCAUCUGCAGUGUAGAAAGCACCCCAUCAGUGCCAAGUGGCUGUGGGAGCUCCUCAAUCUGGAUGCACAGUUUCCCGUGGGGUUUUCACCCUACCUAAAGAAUGCUUUAAUU
This 840-nucleotide long non-coding RNA is filed under the name Homo sapiens (human). Its description in RNAcentral is "non-protein coding LINC01918:19". Lineage: Eukaryota; Metazoa; Chordata; Mammalia; Primates; Hominidae. The record is from RNAcentral.